CGUGAGGUCACGAGGAUCCGAAGGAUCAUCCUGGUACCUGGAAUCUCAAGUCCCAGGCAAGUUGUGCCCUUGAUUCACUUUUGUUACCCAAUAAUGUUCUUUAUUAUCAUUUAUCAAUGCAUAGGUCUAAUUUUGAUGGGACCCAAUAGGUCAUCCUAGUCUGUUUAUCCUUUUACCUUGUUUACCCCUGAUUCACUUGGGUAGUUAUGCUAUUGCUCUAUAUGGUUUUGGGAUUAAUAUUUUAUUACAUCCAUGUUCCAAUUAUUCUGUUAUGUUAUUUAUGUUCAUGAUAAGAUCAUUAUAUUAAUUGGAACAUGGAGCGACCACCCGGGAAAACAGUGCUACCACAAGGGUUUAAUGGGACGCCCUUGGCUGAUUAACUAGGAAAGCUAGUGGAGGUCUUCCUUACCCGAAAGGGGCAAGGGCAGUAGGGGAGUGGUCAGUGUAGGGAGGUCCUUGGGUUGACUUUGCUGCGAUGGCGGUCAGACAAGAACCCUGCAUUGGAGCUUCCUAUAAACUGUAGCGGGAUUUCUGAAGCUAGUGGAACUUUGUAAAGGCCUCGUAGUGUUACCCUGCCUCGCUUCCUUGGUAGAGGUGUAUGGGACUCAUGACCCCUUGGCAGAUGGGUAACACGGCUUGUGGGUAAAGAUGCGCAACCUCUGCAGAGUGUAAAACUAGUAUACUAGCCGUGCUCACGGUCAUGAGCGGCUCGGACCCUCACAUGAUUAAUUUAUGGAACCUAAAUUCAAUUUGUCAUUUGCAUUUGCAGGGGAUUAUUUAUUAAUUUUGUCCUAUUACUUUUAUUAAGGUUUGGUAUUUACUUACACCUAGUAAUUGCUAAUAAAAGUUUGACCAACAUUAAAAGCAAUGCUCAGCUUUAACCAUUUUCUUUGAUAAGCCUUACACUUCAUGAGCUCCCACCUUUGGCGAGUUCAUGCACAUUAUUCCCCACAACUUGUUGAGCGAUGAACGUAUGUGAGCUCACCCUUGCUGUCUCACACCCCCCCCCCACAGGAGAAGAACAGGUGGUUCAAGAGGAGCCAUAACGAGGAGUUCGAUUCGAUCUAGGUGGCGUCUCCCAGUUGACUUUCUGGCGCCAAGGAUGGAUUUUAGAUCCUGCUAUAUUUAUCAUUUAUUUUGUAAGACUUCCGCUAUGUAAUAAGUACUCUGAUUAUUGUGACAUUUAUCUCUAUACACU
RNAcentral lists this long non-coding RNA (1198 nucleotides) under Zea mays. RNAcentral describes it as "long non-coding RNA (ZMAY_LNC000005)". The record is from RNAcentral. Lineage: Eukaryota; Viridiplantae; Streptophyta; Magnoliopsida; Poales; Poaceae.